GGCGGGAGAGGCGGGCGGCUCCUAUAUCUGGCUCCGCGGGCUGCGGGCUGCGGGCUGCAGGCUCGGCGGCCGCGGCGCUCUGGACGGCUCCGGGUCCGGGCACUCGCCAUGGAUCCGGAAUAGGACGGCAGCGCACCCACCGGUCCUCGGUCUCCUCCGGGGCCCGGAAGAAUCCGGCGGCUUCCACGGAGAUGUUUGCUGGGACUAAUACAGCUGAUGAAAUACCUGCCCUUUUCUGCUGAAGAGGCUGGUUUAAUUGAUUCACUUUCCACAUAAGUGUGGGAAGUAGAAAAGUCAGUUUCUCAUACUAAAAAGUAAUAG
This is a long non-coding RNA of Myotis myotis, 321 nucleotides long. RefSeq lists it as uncharacterized. The transcript is spliced from 3 exons. The record is from RefSeq and is a predicted model, not a curated record. Lineage: Eukaryota; Metazoa; Chordata; Mammalia; Chiroptera; Vespertilionidae.